RNAcentral lists this ribosomal RNA (1794 nucleotides) under Campylobacter jejuni. RNAcentral's name for it is "partial 23S ribosomal RNA". It matches the Rfam family "Bacterial large subunit ribosomal RNA", at positions 1 to 1799 of the family's 2925-position model. The record is from RNAcentral. Lineage: Bacteria; Pseudomonadati; Campylobacterota; Epsilonproteobacteria; Campylobacterales; Campylobacteraceae.
AGGUAAGCUACUAAGAGCGAAUGGUGGAUGCCUUGACUGGUAAAGGCGAUGAAGGACGUACUAGACUGCGAUAAGCUACGGGGAGCUGUCAAGAAGCUUUGAUCCGUAGAUUUCCGAAUGGGGCAACCCAAUGUAUAGAGAUAUACAUUACCUAUAUAGGAGCGAACGAGGGGAAUUGAAACAUCUUAGUACCCUCAGGAAAAGAAAUCAAUAGAGAUUGCGUCAGUAGCGGCGAGCGAAAGCGCAAGAGGGCAAACCCAGUGCUUGCACUGGGGGUUGUAGGACUGCAAUGUGCAAGAGGUAAGUUUAGCAGAACAUUCUGGAAAGUAUAACCAUAGAGGGUGAUAGUCCCGUAUGCGAAAAACAAACCUUAGCUAGCAGUAUCCUGAGUAGGGCGGGACACGAGGAAUCCUGUCUGAAUCCGGGUCGACCACGAUCCAACCCUAAAUACUAAUACCAGAUCGAUAGUGCACAAGUACCGUGAGGGAAAGGUGAAAAGAACUGAGGUGAUCAGAGUGAAAUAGAACCUGAAACCAUUUGCUUACAAUCAUUCAGAGCCUUAUGUAGCAAUACAGGGUGAUGGACUGCCUUUUGCAUAAUGAGCCUGCGAGUUGUGGUGUCUGGCAAGGUUAAGCAAACGCGAAGCCGUAGCGAAAGCGAGUCUGAAUAGGGCGCUUAGUCAGAUGCUGCAGACCCGAAACGAAGUGAUCUAUCCAUGAGCAAGUUGAAGCUAGUGUAAGAACUAGUGGAGGACUGAACCCAUAGGCGUUGAAAAGCCCCGGGAUGACUUGUGGAUAGGGGUGAAAGGCCAAUCAAACUUCGUGAUAGCUGGUUCUCUCCGAAAUAUAUUUAGGUAUAGCGUUGUGUCGUAAUAUAAGGGGGUAGAGCACUGAAUGGGCUAGGGCAUACACCAAUGUACCAAACCCUAUCAAACUCCGAAUACCUUAUAUGUAAUCACAGCAGUCAGGCGGCGAGUGAUAAAAUCCGUCGUCAAGAGGGAAACAACCCAGACUACCAGCUAAGGUCCCUAAAUCUUACUUAAGUGGAAAACGAUGUGAAGUUACUUAAACAACCAGGAGGUUGGCUUAGAAGCAGCCAUCCUUUAAAGAAAGCGUAAUAGCUCACUGGUCUAGUGAUUUUGCGCGGAAAAUAUAACGGGGCUAAAGUAAGUACCGAAGCUGUAGACUUAGUUUACUAAGUGGUAGGAGAGCGUUCUAUUUGCGUCGAAGGUAUACCGGUAAGGAGUGCUGGAGCGAAUAGAAGUGAGCAUGCAGGCAUGAGUAGCGAUAAUUAAUGUGAGAAUCAUUAACGCCGUAAACCCAAGGUUUCCUACGCGAUGCUCGUCAUCGUAGGGUUAGUCGGGUCCUAAGUCGAGUCCGAAAGGGGUAGACGAUGGCAAAUUGGUUAAUAUUCCAAUACCAACAUUAGUGUGCGAUGGAAGGACGCUUAGGGCUAAGGGGGCUAGCGGAUGGAAGUGCUAGUCUAAGGUCGUAGGAGGUUAUACAGGCAAAUCCGUAUAACAAUACUCCGAGAACUGAAAGGCUUUUUGAAGUCUUCGGAUGGAUAGAAGAACCCCUGAUGCCGUCGAGCCAAGAAAAGUUUCUAAGUUUAGCUAAUGUUGCCCGUACCGUAAACCGACACAGGUGGGUGGGAUGAGUAUUCUAAGGCGCGUGGAAGAACUCUCUUUAAGGAACUCUGCAAAAUAGCACCGUAUCUUCGGUAUAAGGUGUGGUUAGCCUUGUAUUAGGAUUUACUCCGAAAGCAAGGAAACUUACAACAAAGAGUCCCUCCCGA